RNAcentral lists this ribosomal RNA (253 nucleotides) under uncultured bacterium. RNAcentral's name for it is "partial 16S ribosomal RNA". It matches the Rfam family "Bacterial small subunit ribosomal RNA", at positions 524 to 776 of the family's 1533-position model. The record is from RNAcentral.
UACGAAGGGGGCUAGCGUUGCUCGGAAUUACUGGGCGUAAAGGGCGCGUAGGCGGACAGUUUAGUCAGAGGUGAAAGCCCAGGGCUCAACCUUGGAAUUGCCUUUGAUACUGGCUGUCUUGAGUUCGGGAGAGGUGAGUGGAAUGCCGAGUGUAGAGGUGAAAUGCGUAGAUAUCGGGAGGAACACCAGUGGCGAAGGCGACUACCUGGCCUGUUCUUGACGCUGAGGCGCGAAAGCUAGGGGAGCAAACGGG